This 7060-nucleotide long non-coding RNA is filed under the name Anthonomus grandis grandis. RNAcentral's name for it is "uncharacterized LOC126745397". The record is from RNAcentral. Lineage: Eukaryota; Metazoa; Arthropoda; Insecta; Coleoptera; Curculionidae.
CUAGCUUAGGUGUUCAUCCUGAAAUCCAGAUAAUGUACCUAUAAUAUGUGGUUGAUUCAAUAUGCAAUCAUCUCUUAGAUAGUCAAAGUCAAAAUAAGCUUUAUUCUUCUUACAAUAGAGCAUUCAAACUACAAAGCAACCAGAUGAAAUUUUAUUUAAAAGAGCCAAAAUGUGGGUUAUGGUCAGUUCAGAGUCAAUUGAUUAAGAUGUUUGGUCUCACGUUGACACCCAAUGGAAUUGUAAGACUCAAGCCAUUAAAGGCUUAAAUAGUUGUCUUAAACUGGUUUAAUCAAAGGAGAUUAGAAUUACACAAGACUUAAGAAUUUAAAGAUCAGCCUGAAUAACUUUUUUCAGAGCCAUAGCAAAGAAUAGUGUUAUCCUCAGCAAAUAACAUAAAUUUGACUAAUUUCCGAAGUCACUUAUCUCAAUGAUAUUAGUGAGCUGAAACAAGAAUGUAUUAAGUGCACAAAAGCCAUUUACCAAAAAUGCUCCAAAGCUUUGUUAUAAUUUAUCUGACCAACUAAAACAGCUUUUUAAUCUUCCCCUGCAUAUUAUUUUUCAUAAUUUAAUUUGACACUUAUGGCACAUAUUUUAUAACUUGAUUUUCAUUACUGUCAUUAGAGAUGUCUAGUUUUCCAGUCAAGGACAUUAGUGUUUUUCUCACAAAAUCCUUUGUUGCACAAAAUUUCUAUUACAGUUUGGUGUUAUUGUGUUUACAGAAAAUUAGAUAUCCUUUGGUUGAUAGUGGUCUUAAACGGGUCUUACUUCAGUGAAUAUUUUUUGUGAGAUAUAUAAAAAUAUAAGAUUUUUAAGGAAUUAUGAUAAAUAAAUGCUUGAAAAAAGUUCUUGUUUGAUGUGCAUUGAGGAUAAGAAUACAUUCAGUAAUUUUUAUAUUUAUAUAUGAUUUCUUCUAUGAAUUUGUAGGAAAAUAAUUACUUGCUUUUUGAAUAUUUGUUUGUCUGAUUCUAAAAUGUCAGUAACAUUUUAUGUUAGUAAAAAGUUAUAUUAAAAUUGAUCAGAGCAUGGAAUAGGAUUAUAGGCCUAGGAUAUCAGUUCUGUUUUUUAAGUAUCUGCAACAACAGCUAAAUUUAAUGAGAAUUUGAAAAUUAAAUACAUAAAAAAAAUUGUAUGUCCUCUCUAUAUUUCAAUCCCUACAUUAGUCAUUUCUCAUUAUAUAUUCCUAUAAUGAGAUAAUAAGAUAUCCUAAUCAAUUCAAAUCUGUCCUUCAAGAUGUAGGUCAAAUACAAUAUAAGGCUUCAGUCACCCUUGAGAGAAUGAUACUGUAAACAUGUAUAAUUAAUUGCUUCUGUCUGCUUAUUAUUAGGUAUGUUUUCCAAGAGAUAGGAGUCUGUCUUUGUGGAAAAGAUCUGAGUUUAUUUUCUUUUAUAUUAUAUGAGCUUAAAAACAGGUUUUUAUGUGUUUAUAACCCAUUGAUUUGAAAAUAUUGUAUAUCUUUAACCUGACUGUUUAUAUUUUUGAUAAGUACAGGAACAUGUAAUAGCCUUGUUUCAAGUGGACUUAAAAUUAGUUUUGAAUUUUUACUUUAGGGGUUGAAUAAAAUAUAUAUUUUGGAUAAUCUUACCAUCUGUUCUGCAAGUUUAAUAAAUAAAUGAAAAAAUUAAUAGGCAUUUGUUUUGUUUGUAUUGCCAUCCAGUGGGGUUUUAAUUUCUUAAUUGGAAGCUAUUGACCUUGUUUUCCCUUAUCUCUAAAUAUAAUAAUAAAUGGGUUCAUUUUUUAAUUACACUGCAAGUAAUGGUAAACCACACAAAGUGUCUGUGCUUCUUGAAGUGAAAUUAUUGCAUGACAGCAUUUAAAAAAAAUCAUGCAAAAUGUCUUGAAAAACACGCAAUACGAGGAUUCAUCAGAAACCAUCCUUACUGAAGGUUCCUCAGGCAUUCUUCAAUUACAGCAAGCAGAAACACCUCAUGACACAAUGAAGCAGUUGGCAACAAUAAGAAAGAACAGUUCUGGAAAGCAGUUAAACCUUUCGGAUCCUCAUAAUAUUGGAAUAGAAUCAGAACGGUCACAACGAGACACCGUAAGGCAGUUGGUUCCAGUAGGAAAAAAAACCUCGGGAAAGCGCCCAAAUUUGUCUGAUCCUCAAAUGGAUGAAGCUUUUAAAUCAAUAAAAACACUUACAGAAAAUCGAAGAGUAAGGGAUAGCUUUGAAGUAUAUGGGGAAUACGUGGCAAAUAAAUUAAGAACGUAUGAUGCAUUUGUUCGAGUUGAUGUAGAACAUAAAAUUAAUUGCGUUCUCCAUGAUGCUGAUAUGCGAAUACUUUAUCAUUCACACGGGCAGUUUACUCCAAGAACAACGAAUUUGCCACUACCAACUGUAUCACCUGUCUCAAGUUCGCUCUCUUACGCACCAGCUCCAUCUCCUUAUUAUACAUCAACAAGCAUUCAACAUCCUUCUGAUCAAGAUAGUCCAAAUGAACAUAGCUUUAUUGACGCCCUAAUUGGAUCCCAAGCGGAUAACUCUACGGACAUUUCAUAAAAACUAUAUUACGUUCUUAUAUGUUUUUAUUUGAUUAAAUAAGGAAAAAAGAAUUUGAUUUCUUACCUGAAUAUGAUCUGCCAAUGCUUCUAUAAGGGCUUCGCAAGUUUCAGGAACUAUAGUACCAAUUAGCUGUUUAGAAAUUUGAUUGGAUACAUUAGACUGACAUAUGAAUCUCCAGUGGCUAAAAACCUUAAAGUUAUCAUUAAUCUUGCUUUCACGCAUAUGGCUUCCCGAAAGUUUGUAUUUUUUUUGCAAUUUUAGGUCCAAUCAUAACGAUGAGAGUUUCAAAUGCGGUUGCAUUAACUCGAGUAAAGUUUUUGAACAGCAUUUGGUCUUCCAUUCUUAGUUCUGGUAAAAACUUCCGUUUUCUGUUUGCGAAUAUACUUCUUUGCCACCACCGUUGCUUUCUGCAGUUACGCGAUUUUUUAAUUUUCAUUAAUAGAAACGUGCACCAUGCGAGUAAAGCAUCGUCUUCGUCGCACAUUUUUGCUCGACUGAACGAACUUUUCAGCAACAAGGUUCGCCGAUGUUUUCCAACAAUCAUCGACGUUUGUUUGCCAACAGUUGAUCAACUCUUGCUCAACAGUUGUUCAGCUGCUCAACAAUGUUUGCGUUCCCACCUUUAAGACUGCAUGUAGAUGAAAGCAGGUAGCGUUUAUGAAUGGUGUGAAGUUAACAGACUCCCACUUCAGAAAUAUAAGAAAAUGUCAAUUUCAUAGCUCAAAAAUUAGAUUGACUUUGUUUACUUAAUAAAUGAUGAACUUUUAAAUUUUGACUCUGUUCGUGAGCUGGAGAUCUGUGUUGAUGAAAAGCUUACCUUUAAUGUUCAUAUAAAUACCAUCAUAGGACCUUCUUUACAGACCCUAGGCUUUAUUAUAAGAUCAACAGAAUUAUGUGAAUAUAAAAGGCUCAAAUCAGUUCGAUGAAAAUUCUAAAAAUGUUAGUUUUAGGAGGGAUGGUGUAUAUUAAUAUGAUAGUGGAUUCAGUCAGGAGUUAUUGUUGUCAAGAUUCUUCAUCAAUCUGUAUGCAACAACCAUCUCUUAUCAACUUUAAAUGUUGCUGUUCCGUACACCCAUAUAAGAAGAUAUGUAUACAAUAUAUUUUAUCUUAAUACUUAUGUUACCUAUUUGGCCCAGAAAGAACCCAUAUAUCGAUCAUGCAACUGGUUCAAUGAUGUGCAAUUACGGUUUAUUGUUGAUCUGUUUGCCAUGACUUGUAUAUAAGUACUACCUACUAUUAGUUUUAUAUUGUACCAGUUAGUGAGUCUGAUGUUGUUAUUUGAAACAUUACUGAAUUUAUUUUAUUAUCUAUCAAUAUUUUAAUAAUUGUCUGAUUGUUGGGAUUUGUUUCCUGUCUUGGACAACAGAACUUUGAAUUUAAAUUAUACAGGUAAUUUUUUACUCUCUGGUUAACGAAUAUCGAAUUAAAUAUUCAGAAAAACACAAAUAAAUCUAACUAUGUAAGAGAUCUGAGAUGGCAACUUCUUCUAAUUAUUACCUAUAAUUAGAAAUCGAACAUUUUGGUUUGAAACUGCAAUUUCUCAUUUUAUUUCUCUGUACUUAAUCAUAAGUUUACUGCAGAAUUAAAUAUCCUUCCAAAUAUCGUCAUGCUCUGUGCUAUUUAGUUUAUUACACACAGGACCAUUGAAAACUUAUGGCAACAUCUAUUUAUAGCAUUUAAUAACUGCUUUACGUCUAGAUACUUAUGUUCCGGUUAUUAUCUGAAAAUCCCCCUAUUUAUCCCACAUAUAUAUUAUCGGCGAGUUCAAUAAGCAUUUUGCGGUAACUGGAAAACAAUGAUCAAUUGUUUACUUAGAACUCUAGAAUACACAAUGGAACAUUCCUUAUAUUGAUUUUUAUUGGUGCGCUAAAUAUUACGCCUAGGCGCAAAAAUAGGAGCAAAUUCAUUAAAUUUUAUAUUUAAAAAAAAGGUCGUUGUUUACGCUAUUUGGCAUGGUACGUCAUUGGGUACGAUUCGAAAGUAGCGAACUUUGGGUUUUAAAUAUUUUACUUACAGUAGUUAUCACUAAAAAAAGUCUAAUAUCUCAUUUUAUUUAGAACCUAUGCAAAAGUAUGAGUACAAAUUAAAUCUGAAUUUAAACAUAUUUUAAGGAAAAAUAAAGUUAACUAUAUAUUUUAAAGAAAAUUCAAUGUAAACCUAAAUCAUCAUUCUAAUGCUUAGACACCUAAUAUUAUAACUAAUAUACUAAAAUUUAAUCUUACAUUAAUACUAAAAUUAUUGAUCCUGACUAAUUUUCUGAUUAAAACAUAAGUUAAGAAUUUUGAUGCUAUGUAAAGACACUUUGUUGCAUAAUUUGAAAAGGAAGAGUAAACCUACAUAGACAAUCUCAUUGCGAAGUGACAGACAUUGGAAAUGGUUCAAAAAUAUUUGAUGGUCGAAAUCCGCAGAUACCAUCAUUGUGAAAAUAUCAAUUUGAUCAGAUUAUAGGUUGGUAAUCAAAUCAAAUUAAAUAUUUAUUAAUACGUUACACAGUAUGUGUUUGUACAAGUCAAAUCUAAUGGCAAGAAAUAUUUAUAAAAAAGAAAAUUCAUUAUUACAUAUUAAAAUCUACAAUUUAAAAAAAUAUAUAUAACAAAUACGCAAAGAAAACAAACUUUCAUACAAAAUCAGCAGAUAAAUAGGGUAAAGCUAGGAGAGACGGCACACGUUUUACAAAACAUCAAAUAACUUCUUUAUUUAAAAAAAAACAUAUAAAAAAUACAGAAAAUAAACAUAAACUUUGACUUUCUUUAUUCAGUUAAAAAACAUAAACACUCAUCCUAGUGGUAUAAAAAAAUUAAAAACUGAAACUAGAAAUCAGUCCGUCUAUCCUACUCAGGCUAGGAGAGUUGGACAUUACUUGCUAGGAUAGAUGGACCUUGAAUUUUAUUCCUUUUUUUUUUUGUAGCACUGACGCCACAAUUUUGACAAACGUUCGAAAAAUCAUCUAAACUCAUGUCAUCGGACUCUGAAGAAGAGACUACUGUGUUUUUUUCACGAAUUUUCAACCGUUUAGGCUUCAUUGGUAUCUUUGACUUUCUGGUUGACUCUGGCACUUUACGCUUCCGCCUCUUUUCUAUUUCUGAUGUACGCCGGUGAAGAUAAAACUCUUCUCAGAUUGGUUGGGACCUUUCUCAUAGAUGGUCUUCUAUGAUAUUUUGUGUGAGUCUACUUAGUAGGAGGGUGAGUACUUAGAAGGACAAUAUAGAGUAUUUAUAAUCAGCUACUUAGUUAAACAGGAAUAUAGACAGCAAUUAAAACACCUGUAAGUUUAGAGGUAAUUUAUUAGAUAUCUACCAAUUAGAACUUGAGCAACAAUCUCUUUAAGCAACUUCGUGUCAUCUGCAAACUGGAGACUGUCGUUGAUAAAAGUUGAGAGGUAAAUAUAAACCAUAUUUGCUGAUUAAAACAGAAGAAAUCAUGUUUUUAUCUUGAUUUCUGGAAGCGUUUAUCAGUGGAUCCAAAUCAUUUACCGUUAAAGGAAGCUCAGGAAAGACAAAAAUAUUUUCUUACACAAUUUAAAAAGGAAGAGCAAACCUACACAAAAAAUGGUUCAAAAGGGUUUGAUGGUCGAAAUCCGUAAAUGCAAAAAAAUAUAUUUGAACAGAUUAAAGUUUGGCGAGAUGUACAUUAUAGUAUGAGAACCACAAUAGAGAGAAUUCAUAAUGAACCACUUGGUUUAAUCAGAAUAUAAACUUGGCACCAAUUAAAAAUUGUAUUUAGGUCAUCUUAGAGAAGCAGACAGUCUUUUUGAUCAAGUAUAGCCCGCAUUUAGCACUUUUGUGUUAUCUGCAAACUGGAGAUGUUCAUUGAUAAAAAUUGAAAGGUGUAAGAUUGCUACCUUGUGAAGUCCUCACUAAGUUCAAUGUAAUGCUUUGAUUUGUUAUUGUUUGAGUUGAUGGCACUUCUUAAAAAAAAAAACCUGUGGUAGAGUCUCAUAAUAUCAGAGUUUUUUAUCUUAUAUUUCUUUUAUAUAAUUCAUUUCUUUAACAGAUAUUUUGGUUUUUAAUUUUUAUACAGUCGAUACGUAUGUAAUUUAAUAAGAUUAACCUUAAAAGGAAUUACACGUUUAGCUACUGCAAUCGAUAGAUAUAUUAAAUAGACACAUGAUGACAAAUUUUUAUAAUUGCUCACAAAUCGACAACACGUAUUUUUUUCACGUUGAAGUCUUUGCUGGGAUAUUUUAUCAAGACAAGGAUAUUGAAAAAUUAAACAGUAACUAAGCUGAAGCAACUAAGAGUUUUUUUUAAAUUUACAAUAUUUUUGUUAGCAUAGAGCAAACGUAUACAUAAAUAACACCUCUGCAAGGUAAAACUAAUAUGUCCUUGGAAUCUUAAAGAAUCAAUAGUUGAACCUAGAAUCUUGACCCUCUCAGCAAAAACAAGCCGGUUAUUGUCAAAAUGAGUGUAGAUAUUAUUGGCACAAUGAUUUUUAUUAUCAAAGAGUAAUACCUUAGUUUUAUUGGUAUUAGUAUUACGAUUGUGAUGCUAUGCUUGUGUGUAAUAUAUAUUUGGUUUAAAAUGUAUUAUUUUAAUAAAUACAGAAUUUAUACAUAAUUUA